GACGAACGCUGGCGGCGUGCUUAACACAUGCAAGUCGAACGGAAAGGCCCUGCUUUUGUGGGGUGCUCGAGUGGCGAACGGGUGAGUAACACGUGAGUAACCUGCCCUUGACUUUGGGAUAACUUCAGGAAACUGGGGCUAAUACCGGAUAGGAGCUCCUGCUGCAUGGUGGGGGUUGGAAAGUUUCGGCGGUUGGGGAUGGACUCGCGGCUUAUCAGCUUGUUGGUGGGGUAGUGGCUUACCAAGGCUUUGACGGGUAGCCGGCCUGAGAGGGUGACCGGCGACAUUGGGACUGAGAUACGGCACAGACUCCUACGGGAGGCAGCAGUGGGGAAUAUUGCACAAUGGGCGGAAGCCUGAUGCAGAAACGCCGCGUGCGGGAUGACGGCCUUCGGGUUGUAAACCGAUUUCGACUGUGACGAAGCGUGAGUGACGGUAAUGGGUAAAGAAGCACCGGCUAACUACGUG
This 468-nucleotide ribosomal RNA is filed under the name uncultured bacterium. RNAcentral's name for it is "partial 16S ribosomal RNA". It matches the Rfam family "Bacterial small subunit ribosomal RNA", at positions 28 to 507 of the family's 1533-position model. The record is from RNAcentral.